CCCACCGAACCUGGCGGGAGGACUGUUACACUCCCUGGUGCGAGUGGACGACCCGGCGCACCCAUCACACUCCGACCACGCUGACCAGGGACUCCACGAACCAUGGACUAGAGGGAGAGUCAGGAGAAGAGAUGAAGAGAGAGACACAAACAAAAGCCUUGCAGCUGGUCCCACUCACCUGGACAGGGGUCUCUGGUGCAGUUGAGCCUCCCACCCUCACAGGUGCUGAAACAAAGAGGAAAUACCAACAUAAUUAUUCUCCUGUCCCUUCUUUCUGGGCUUCAGUGGUCUCCCCUGGUUCCAGCCUGUGUCCAGUGUUGAGGUCCAUGCAGGGACAGUCUUCUCUCUCUACGCACACUGUCCCGUUAGCAGACAGGACCUUUCCCUCUGUACAGUAGCACCCCGGCUCACAUUGCC
Long non-coding RNA from Sebastes umbrosus (honeycomb rockfish), 417 nucleotides. RefSeq lists it as uncharacterized. The record is from RefSeq and is a predicted model, not a curated record. Lineage: Eukaryota; Metazoa; Chordata; Actinopteri; Perciformes; Sebastidae. The transcript is spliced from 3 exons.